AUUGAACGCUGGCGGCAGGCCUAACACAUGCAAGUCGAGCGGGGUUUUCGGACCUAGCGGCGGACGGGUGAGUAAUGCGUAGGAAGCUACCCGAUAGAGGGGGAUACCAGUUGGAAACGACUGUUAAUACCGCAUAAAGUCUACGGACCAAAGUGUGGGACCUUCGGGCCACAUGCUAUCGGAUGCGCCUACGUGGGAUUAGCUAGUUGGUGAGGUAAUGGCUCACCAAGGCGACGAUCUCUAGCUGGUUUGAGAGGAUGAUCAGCCACACUGGAACUGAGACACGGUCCAGACUCCUACGGGAGGCAGCAGUGGGGAAUUUCCGCAAUGGCGAAGCCUGACGAGCAAUACCGCGUGAGGG
RNAcentral lists this ribosomal RNA (361 nucleotides) under uncultured bacterium. Its description in RNAcentral is "bacterial SSU rRNA". It matches the Rfam family "Bacterial small subunit ribosomal RNA", at positions 30 to 407 of the family's 1533-position model. The record is from RNAcentral.